This 1245-nucleotide long non-coding RNA is filed under the name Chrysemys picta bellii (western painted turtle). RNAcentral describes it as "lncRNA (ENSCPBG00000008315.1)". Lineage: Eukaryota; Metazoa; Chordata; Testudines; Emydidae. The record is from RNAcentral.
AUACUGGCUGAAGUACAGUUCAGCAUAUGGAGUCUAUUCCAAGAAAUGGAGGGAGAGAAAUCAAAACACAUGUUUUUCAAAAGUGCUGGAAUGGCCGGAUUAGCAGAAAUUACAAAUGGUCUGGAAGAGUUAAAAAGAAGGUGUUUAAGAAGCUGCUCAGAAGAGGGUUUUGCCUGGAACCACGUGGUUUCCUAGUUGAAAAUAGCUAGUGAAACUGGCAAUACAAAAAGAAGUGGAUCAUCACCCUCUUUUUCAUAAUUUAGUUGGGUUAAUGUAUUGAAAAAUCUGUGCAAAAACAUCAUGUGGGCAGCCUAUGCAAAGGGGAUUUUUCCUCAGAAACCUCAGCACAGACAGCACAGUAAUUUGAACAGCCAGAGAUCAUCCAAAACCCUUCAGGAACUGUUCUUCUCCCCACAGAUUUCAUGUUCCCAGCAAUCUCUGUACAAAGCUGUCAGCUCUAAGUGGGCUGGGCAUCAUAUGGAGCAUCGCCUUGCUCGAAGGCUGAAGCAGCCGGUUGGACGUCAGGCAGCACUUGAGGAUGAAAGUCUAGCUGCCUUGGGAAAUACAGAGGCUUUUACUCUGAGGUCCAAAGAAAAAACUACAGAUCAGGCCAGAAGUCACCAUGCAAAUUCCAGUGCAUUUUCAGGUAGAUCUCAACAGAAGGAUAAAACCUGUUUAUCAGAAGAGGAGUUAUUCUUCAAAAGGCACACAACAGCAAUGCAGAGAGGAGUAAAUUUAAAUAAUUGGGUCCUGCCAACCCAGAGAACAGAUGAAAUACCUCACUUGAAGAGCCUGGAGAUUAGUGAUGACAAGGGAAACAACAGAGUGAUGACAGACUCAUUGAAAAGUGCUUUGUUAGAAACUGUUGCUUUAGCUAAAAAUGAGCAUUCCAGUCAGGAUAAUGGAGCAGACAGACCUGUCUACAGUGAAUCCUCAUCACAAAGUACAGCUCAGCUGGAGCCGCAGUCUGCAAGCAGGGCUGAAAAAACAAAGUCUUCUACUCCUUUGUUACUCAGGAGCUGGGAGGUGCCUGCUAAUCUGGGAGAAGAUAAACAACGGGACCCUCCUGAUAGUGACAGAGACAGGACUAUAAUUAGGGGACACAUCAAUAUACCAUAUUCAGUCAGAAAGAAAGUCUUUAUGGUCUACAUUUGUGGAGGUUAUCAAAGUAUAGCAAUUGGAAACCAGCCCCAUUCCCACCACAGACACUCCCACACCCUGAGAUUCCUGGACUAUCAUGUCUAA